This 404-nucleotide ribosomal RNA is filed under the name Actinomycetes bacterium. RNAcentral describes it as "Actinobacteria bacterium partial 16S ribosomal RNA". It matches the Rfam family "Bacterial small subunit ribosomal RNA", at positions 355 to 776 of the family's 1533-position model. The record is from RNAcentral. Lineage: Bacteria; Bacillati; Actinomycetota; Actinomycetes.
UGGGGAAUAUUGGACAAUGGGCGCAAGCCUGAUCCAGCCAUGCCGCGUGAGUGAUGAAGGCCCUAGGGUUGUAAAGCUCUUUCACCGGUGAAGAUAAUGACGGUAACCGGAGAAGAAGCCCCGGCUAACUUCGUGCCAGCAGCCGCGGUAAUACGAAGGGGGCUAGCGUUGUUCGGAUUUACUGGGCGUAAAGCGCACGUAGGCGGACUUUUAAGUCAGGGGUGAAAUCCCGGGGCUCAACCCCGGAACUGCCUUUGAUACUGGAAGUCUUGAGUAUGGUAGAGGUGAGUGUAAUUCCGGGUGUAGAGGUGAAAUUCGUAGAUAUUCGGAGGAACACCAGUGGCGAAGGCGGCUCACUGGAACAUUACUGACGCUGAGGUGCGAAAGCGGGGGGAGCAAACAGG